This is a long non-coding RNA of Dreissena polymorpha, 499 nucleotides long. RefSeq lists it as uncharacterized. The record is from RefSeq and is a predicted model, not a curated record. Lineage: Eukaryota; Metazoa; Mollusca; Bivalvia; Myida; Dreissenidae. The transcript is spliced from 3 exons.
AGUACACAGAGAGCCACAGCUUCGAGAACUUGCUGCCAACCUUUCCAGAACUGUGGACAACUUUUCCAUUUCCUCGCCUUCCCACAAGAAAAAGUGCCCAGAGUGUGGAAACUCAGAGGAUGUUCGGACCAUGGUGUAUAAAGACAUUCCUGAUGCACUGCUGAUGCACUUUACGUCUGGAUUACCCAGCAUGCCCCUGUCGAUCUUCAACUGAAUCACCAUGGAAAUACGUACGCAGUGACGGGCUUGGUGCAAUAUCAAGAGGGGACAGACGUACCAAACCAUUUUGUGGCUUGGCUGAGGAAUCCUGAUGACAACAUGUGGAUGAAGUGUGAUGACCUUGACGGCUCAGUGUGCGCCUUCAACCACUCCCAGCCGUCUGUCCCAUCGUCACAGGUGCACAUCGUUAUGUGGGAAAAGGUCAUCCCAAAGACUCGAACCUGUCGCCAGCUUACCAUGGUGCCUGACCAUGACAACAGUAUAAGUUUCCAUGACGAUG